RNAcentral lists this transfer RNA (87 nucleotides) under Tuberaphis styraci. RNAcentral's name for it is "tRNA-Val". The record is from RNAcentral. Lineage: Eukaryota; Metazoa; Arthropoda; Insecta; Hemiptera; Hormaphididae.
AUUUAGAUAGAUUUUAUUAUAAAAUAAAUAUCUAAAUUUAAUAAGUAUAUCAUUUACAAUGAUAAGAUGUUUUUAACUUUAUUUAAA